RNAcentral lists this ribosomal RNA (468 nucleotides) under uncultured bacterium. RNAcentral's name for it is "partial 16S ribosomal RNA". It matches the Rfam family "Bacterial small subunit ribosomal RNA", at positions 28 to 507 of the family's 1533-position model. The record is from RNAcentral.
GACGAACGCUGGCGGCGUGCUUAACACAUGCAAGUCGAACGGAAAGGCCCUGCUUUUGUGGGGUGCUCGAGUGGCGAACGGGUGAGUAACACGUGAGUAACCUGCCCUUGACUUUGGGAUAACUUCAGGAAACUGGGGCUAAUACCGGAUAGGAGCUCCUGCUGCAUGGUGGGGGUUGGAAAGUUUCGGCGGUUGGGGAUGGACUCGCGGCUUAUCAGCUUGUUGGUGGGGUAGUGGCUUACCAAGGCUUUGACGGGUAGCCGGCCUGAGAGGGUGACCGGCGACAUUGGGCCUGAGAUACGGACCAGACUCCUACGGGAGGCAGCAGUGGGGAAUAUUGCACAAUGGGCGGAAGCCUGAUGCAGAAACGCCGCGUGCGGGAUGACGGCCUUCGGGUUAUAAACCGCUUUCGCCUGUGACGAAGCGUGAGUGACGGUAAUGGGUAAAGAAGCACCGGCUAACUACGUG